UAGGGAAUCUUCGGCAAUGGACGAAAGUCUGACCGAGCAACGCCGCGUGAGUGAAGAAGGGUUUCGGCUCGUAAAGCUCUGUUGUUAAAGAAGAACGUUGGUGAGAGUGGAAAGCUCAUCAAGUGACGGUAACUACCCAGAAAGGGACGGCUAACUACGUGCUAG
This 165-nucleotide ribosomal RNA is filed under the name uncultured bacterium. Its description in RNAcentral is "partial 16S ribosomal RNA". It matches the Rfam family "Bacterial small subunit ribosomal RNA", at positions 355 to 511 of the family's 1533-position model. The record is from RNAcentral.